RNAcentral lists this long non-coding RNA (668 nucleotides) under Homo sapiens (human). RNAcentral's name for it is "non-protein coding lnc-TPPP-5:1". Lineage: Eukaryota; Metazoa; Chordata; Mammalia; Primates; Hominidae. The record is from RNAcentral.
AUCUUCAUGUUCCUGGGUAUCUCGGCCGUGAACCCGUUCAUCUGGACCUGGAACACGGCCUUCGUGCUCCUGACGCUGGUCUUCAUCUCCGUGUACCGGGCCAUCGUGUGGUCCUGCAGACCUGGCUUCUGAACCGCUACCGCAUGGUGCAGCUGGAGCCCAUUGACCAGGUGGUCCUGUCCUACGGGGGCCUGCGCGGGGCCGUGGCCUUUGCCCUGGUGGUGCUUCUGGAUGGAGACAAGGUCAAGGAGAAGAACCUGUUCGUCAGCACCACCAUCAUCGUAGUGUUCUUCACCGUCAUCUUCCAGGCCUGACCAUCAAGCCUCUGGUGCAGUGGCUGAAGGUGAAGAGGAGCGAGCACCGGGAACCUCGGCUCAACGAGAAGCUGCACGGGCGGCUUUCGACCACAUCCUCUCGGCCAUCGAGGACAUAUCCGGACAGAUCGGGCACAAUUAUCUCAGAGACAGUGGUCCCACUUCGACAGGAAGUUCCUCAGCAGGGUCCUCAUGAGACGGUCGGCCCAGAAGUCUCGAGACCGGAUCCUGAAUGUCUUCCACGAGCUGAACCUGAAGGAUGCCAUCAGCUACGUGGCUGAGGAGAGCGCCGCGGGUCCCUGGCCUUCAUCCGCUCCCCCAGCACCGACAACGUGGUCAACGUGGACUUCACGC